AAAAAACAACUCUCUCUCUUCCUCUCAGAGCAAACACAAGCUCUGCAAACUUCUAAACACCUCUGACUUCAACCUACCGGAGAAGAUGGCGGUUGCCGGCCAACGGCGGCGGCGCCACCUUCUUCUCCGGCGAACCACCACUUAAAACCUAAAUCUCAAAUACCAACUCCCCUUUAUUCACGCUCGCGGUUGCGGAUCCGGCCACAAAAACAACAAAGUCCCAACCACAAACCCGAAUCAGAAACCCUAAACCAGAAAACCCAAUUCACACAAAACGAAAUUAAACCCAAGAUCUACGAAGUCUCAAGAAAUUACCAAAGGAAAAAGGAUCAACGAGAAGAGCUCUAUAUCAAGACGAAAUUAAAAGGGAAAGAAGAAACUCAAGACUACCUACACGGAGAGAUUUUGGCGUGGUUCCGGCGACAAACUCGAAGGUAAUGUAAUUAUCUUCUGAUUCCUUUAGAGCUGCCUCCUACUCCUCCUUUGCUUUAGAUUCAGCUUAUAGCUCAACCUUGCUCAAACUCUGGUGAUAAGUUUGAGCGGUUGAUGAAAAAAAUGAGCUUUAGGUUUUUUUUCCGAAAUAUAUUGUUACUGUAUAUUCUGGGUUCUGAAAAAGAAUUGCUCGGUUGUUGCUGUUAACUUUCUAGGAUUUUCCUUAGAAAUUUUGCUCUGUGUGUUUGCUGUUGUGUUCUAGGUUUUUUUUUUGAGAAAAUCUCUUACUGUGUUGUCUCUUUGGAGUUAACAGAGAAAAAAACUUUGAAAAUUUCUUCUGGAUUUUUAUCAAAACGUUUCUUUUUUUUACUGUUAAUUUGUUGUUGUUAUAUAUGUGAUGAAUGCUGAGGUUCUGAGAUAACUUGUUAAGUUAUCCUUUUUCCAGAUUUUGUGGGAUAAUUAUCUUAUGGAUUUAAGGUUGUUGAUGUGGAUAUUGCAAAGUGUUCUUGAGUGUUCUCCUUGGUUUACUGUGUAACCAAAUAAUCUGUUUAUUUUAUGGUUUAUUUUCCAGUUUGUUUUAAGUGUUUAUUUUGAUAAGCAGUUUUUUUAACUUUGAAUUUGGUUUUGCAUUUGCAGGUGAAGUGAUGUUGAAUUGAUUGAAAAGGGGCGCUGGCUUUUUGAGUUGGGUCACUACACGAAGGGACCAUUGGCUUUGGAGAAAGUCUCUGAAGACUACUUCAAAUCAUUAGACUCCAUUCAAUUAUUUUCAGAAUUUUAGAUUAUUUUUGUAACCUGUAAAUUAAUCAAAUGCUCCUUUGUAUUUUUGUGUAAAUUUGGAUUAUUUGGAGUUUUUUUAAUAUGUAAAUUUAAUUUGAAACUUCCUUUUUUUUUGGAGAACUAUGUAACUACUUUUUUUGGAUUAUCAGCAAGAUCUUUUUAUAAUUUUAAUUUAAGCUCUAUUAGAGUAACUUGUAACAUUUGGACUUAAUUGAAAUAUGAUUUGGAAUAUCACUUGGAACAUUAUUUGGAACAUAAUUUGUGCAAUUA
This 1479-nucleotide long non-coding RNA is filed under the name Lathyrus oleraceus (garden pea). RNAcentral's name for it is "Pisum sativum (pea) long non-coding RNA (PSAT_LNC037067)". Lineage: Eukaryota; Viridiplantae; Streptophyta; Magnoliopsida; Fabales; Fabaceae. The record is from RNAcentral.